ACACAAAGCGACACAUUCCAAUAAGUUAAACUCUAAUAACACCACGUCACUCUCAUUCACUAGGGGGCGCCACAGGACCACCAAUCUCAAAGCAACACUUUUAAACUACGUUUCUUUCUUCCUUUCUUUCUUUCUUUUUACAUGCCCUAAUUCACACCAUUUGAAACUGCUGUGUCAACGAGUAGAAACAGGAAUAAACAGCACGCUGGAGUGAACUGACUGUUGGUGUAGUGAGUUGACGGGAGCGUCUGGCCGUUCUCUUCCCAGUAAACUACGACGUUAGAUGGGAAAAAUCCAGAAACUAGGCAGUGUGUUUGAGGGACAGUGAAGCGUCUAGUGAUUGAAUGGACACCUGAGGCUUCAUGAAGGUCAACAUACUGUUUUCCAGGGAUGUCGACGCUGUUGGCUUGAAAGUGUGUUUGAGGGACAGUGAAGCGUCUAGUGAUUGAAUGGACACCUGAGGCUUCAUGAAGGUCAACAUACUGUUUUCCAGGGAUGUCGACGCUGUUGGCUUGAAAGGUUUUUCCUGCAACUCUUUCAAUCCAGCUGGCAGCCUCAGGCAUUCUUGAUCUGGUCUGUCCAAUCGAGCUCCUCGGUUCAUCACUUUGCCUUAAUUUCCUCAUGGCCAAGAGAUGUCAUCGUUUUAUAUUUUAUUUUACUAAAAAGCUUUUCCUGACAAGACUCCCAAGAUAGUCUUCCAACACCUACAUUUAUUUUCCAGUGUGGAGCUCUUGAAUGGCAUCUCCCUGUACCCUGCUACCUUUGAGCCAAUGCUAUCAGGUGCUGUUGGUCAGUAAUCAUCUUAAAAAGUGCUGUCUUCAAAUUUUUGAAACCUGAACUU
Long non-coding RNA from Acanthopagrus latus (yellowfin seabream), 841 nucleotides. RefSeq lists it as uncharacterized. NCBI's taxonomy places the organism in Eukaryota, Metazoa, Chordata, Actinopteri, Spariformes, Sparidae. The transcript has 6 exons. The record is from RefSeq and is a predicted model, not a curated record.